GACGAACGCUGGCGGCGUGCUUAACACAUGCAAGUCGAACGGAAAGGCCCUGCUUUUGUGGGGUGCUCGAGUGGCAAACGGGUGAGUAACACGUGAGUAACCUGCCCUUGACUUUGGGAUAACUUCAGGAAACUGGGGCUAAUACCGGAUAGGAGCUCCUGCUGCAUGGUGGGGGUUGGAAAGUUUCGGCGGUUGGGGAUGGACUCGCGGCUUAUCAGCUUGUUGGUGGGGUAGUGGCUUACCAAGGCUUUGACGGGUAGCCGGCCUGAGAGGGUGACCGGCCACAUUGGGACUGAGAUACGGCCCAGACUCCUACGGGAGGCAGCAGUGGGGAAUAUUGCACAUGGGCGGAAGCCUGAUGCAGCAACGCCGCGUGCGGGAUGACGGCCUUCGGGUUGUAAACCGCUUUCGCCUGUGACGAAGCGUGAGUGACGGUAAUGGGUAAAGAAGCACCGGCUAACUACGUG
Molecule: ribosomal RNA, 467 nt
Filed under: uncultured bacterium
Lineage: Bacteria
Description: partial 16S ribosomal RNA
Rfam family: Bacterial small subunit ribosomal RNA
Source: RNAcentral